UUUAAAGUUUAGGACCACGUUUGC
This 24-nucleotide microRNA is filed under the name Lotus japonicus. RNAcentral's name for it is "lja-miR11179-3p". The record is from miRBase by way of RNAcentral. Lineage: Eukaryota; Viridiplantae; Streptophyta; Magnoliopsida; Fabales; Fabaceae.